GGUAAUGGUGAGAGGUUAACAUGUUUUGUUGUAGUCUCUGUUAUUGGUAAUGGUGAGAGGUUAGCAUGUUUUGUUGUAGCCUCUGUUAUUGGUAAUGGUGAGAGGUUAGCAUGUUUUGUUGUAGUCUCUGUUAUUGGUAAUGGUGAGAGGUUAGCAUGUUUUGUUGUAGUCUCUGUUAUUGGUAAUGGUGAGAGGUUAGCAUGUUUUGUUGUAGUCUCUGUUAUUGGUAAUGGUGAGAGGUUAGCAUGUUUUAUUGUAGCCUCUGUUAUUGGUAAUGGUGAGAGGUUAGCAUGUUUUGUUGUAGUCUCUGUUAUUGGUAAUGGUGAGAGGUUAGCAUGUUUUGUUGUAUCCUCUGUUAUUGGUAAUGGUGAGAGGUUAGCAUGUUUUGUUGUAGCCUCUGUUAUUGGUAAUGGUGAGAGGUUAGCAUGUUUUGUUGUAGUCUCUGUUAUUGGUAAUGGUGAGAGGUUAGCAUGUUUUGUUGUAUCCUCUGUUAUUGGUAAUGGUGAGAGGUUAGCAUGUUUUGUUGUAGUCUCUGUUAUUGGUAAUGGUGAGAGGUUAGUAUGUUUUGUUGUAGUCUCUGUUAUUGGUAAUGGUGAGAGGUUAGUAUGUUUUGUUGUCGUCUGUUAUUGGUAAUGGUGAGAGGUUAGUAUGUUUUGUUGUAGCCUCUGUAACUUUCUCACUCAUUAUUAUUCAUGAUUCUUUCAUGAUUUUUCUUAAUCAUGGCAUCAUCAGGAUUAAUUUAUUAUUGUUUAGAAACAUGUUAUCUACUCUCUUAGACAGAAAAGUACUCCACUCAUCAUCCACCAUUUUAUUAUUGGGCAAAACACAACCAAAAACACAACCAAAACACACUGCAAAUGCAAACAAUGACUUUACGACCAAAUUUCAAUGAAUAUGGGACCAAUUACCUUUGACUACUUUAA
Molecule: long non-coding RNA, 923 nt
Organism: Oncorhynchus keta (chum salmon)
Lineage: Eukaryota; Metazoa; Chordata; Actinopteri; Salmoniformes; Salmonidae
Exons: 3
Source: RefSeq, a predicted model, not a curated record